This 253-nucleotide ribosomal RNA is filed under the name uncultured bacterium. RNAcentral describes it as "partial 16S ribosomal RNA". It matches the Rfam family "Bacterial small subunit ribosomal RNA", at positions 524 to 776 of the family's 1533-position model. The record is from RNAcentral.
UACGUAGGGUGCGAGCGUUGUCCGGAAUUAUUGGGCGUAAAGGGCUCGUAGGCGGUCUGUUGCGUCGGGAGUGAAAACUCAGGGCUUAACCCUGAGCCUGCUUCCGAUGCGGGCAGACUAGAGGUAUGCAGGGGAGAACGGAAUUCCUGGUGUAGCGGUGAAAUGCGCAGAUAUCAGGAGGAACACCGGUGGCGAAGGCGGUUCUCUGGGCAUUACCUGACGCUGAGGAGCGAAAGUGUGGGGAGCGAACAGG